Molecule: long non-coding RNA, 440 nt
Filed under: Arabidopsis lyrata
Lineage: Eukaryota; Viridiplantae; Streptophyta; Magnoliopsida; Brassicales; Brassicaceae
Description: long non-coding RNA (ALYR_LNC003048)
Source: RNAcentral
UUUUUUUUUUUAAUCAAUAUUUAAGCGUUGGCUUUUCAACACGAAGCAAACUAGUUUUUUUUAUCUUACCACUGAUGAUUUGCUUUUUCUGACAUUUGUAUUUCUUUUAUUGUUGUUCAUAUUUUGAGUGUUUUUGCUUAGAAGGUAAUAUAUGCACAAGAUUUCCCUGAACUGUAUGCUGCAGAUAAUCAUCGAAAAGCUUGUGGAUGUCGUUUAUCUAUGUAGAUUAAGCCAUUGUGGAAUUUUUUGGCAAGCAAAUCUUUUGGAUAGUGAUUGUGGACUCCCGAUUUCAUUUUCUCUUUUCCUAGAAUCUGUAAGAGGCAAGUGAUUGUGGUAUAUAUGCCCCAAUAUGCUGAUCUAAUCUAACAAAUCAAUAGUUGUGUAAGCUUACGGAUUCUCUCACAUGUUUUAUUAUGAUAUAGGAAAAGGGUUAAUUUGCC